Molecule: ribosomal RNA, 1353 nt
Filed under: uncultured bacterium
Lineage: Bacteria
Description: bacterial SSU rRNA
Rfam family: Bacterial small subunit ribosomal RNA
Source: RNAcentral
CUCAGGAUGAACGCUGGCGGCGUGCUUAACACAUGCAAGUCGAACGAAGCGCUUAGGAUUGAGAUUUCGGUUGAUUGAAUAAGUGACUUAGUGGCGGACGGGUGAGUAACGCGUGGGUAACCUGCCCCGUACAGGGGGAUAACAGUUAGAAAUGACUGCUAAUACCGCAUAACCCGCUAGAGUCGCAUGACUCAGACGGAAAAGAUUUAUCGGUACGAGAUGGACCCGCGUCUGAUUAGCUAGUUGGUGGGGUAACGGCCCACCAAGGCGACGAUCAGUAGCCGGCCUGAGAGGGUGAACGGCCACAUUGGGACUGAGACACGGCCCAAACUCCUACGGGAGGCAGCAGUGGGGAAUAUUGCACAAUGGGGGAAACCCUGAUGCAGCGACGCCGCGUGAGUGAAGAAGUAUUUCGGCAUGUAAAGCUCUAUCAGCAGGGAAGAAAAUGACGGUACCUGACUAAGAAGCCCCGGCUAACUACGUGCCAGCAGCCGCGGUAAUACGUAGGGGGCAAGCGUUAUCCGGAUUUACUGGGUGUAAAGGGAGCGUAGACGGUUUAGCAAGUCUGAAGUGAAAGCCCGGGGCUCAACCCCGGGACUGCUUUGGAAACUGUUGAACUAGAGUGCAGGAGAGGUAAGCGGAAUUCCUAGUGUAGCGGUGAAAUGCGUAGAUAUUAGGAGGAACACCAGUGGCGAAGGCGGCUUACUGGACUGUAACUGACGUUGAGGCUCGAAAGCGUGGGGAGCAAACAGGAUUAGAUACCCUGGGUAGUCCACGCCGUAAACGAUGGAAAACUAUCCUGUUGGGCGGGGCACCGCCUGUCGGUGGGCGCAGCUAACCCUAUAAGAUUUCCCCCCGGGGGAGUACCUUUCUCAGGAUUGAAACCUCAAAGGAAUUGACGGGGGACCCGCACAAGCGGUGGAGCAUGUGGUUUAAUUGGAAGCAACGCGAAGAACCUUACCAAGUCUUGACAUCCGGCUGACCGGUCCUUAACCGGACCUUUCCUUCGGGACAGCCGAGACAGGUGGUGCAUGGUUGUCGUCAGCUCGUGUCGUGAGAUGUUGGGUUAAGUCCCGCAACGAGCGCAACCCUUAUCUUUAGUAGCCAGCGGUCCGGUCGGGCGCUCUAGCGAGACUGCCCGGGUUAACCGGGAGGAAGGUGGGGAUGACGUCAAAUCAUCAUGCCCCUUAUGUCUAGGGCUACACACGUGCUACAAUGGCAAGUACAAAGAGAAGCAAGACCGCGAGGUGGAGCAAAACUCAAAAACUUGUCUCAGUUCGGAUUGUAGGCUGAAACUCGCCUACAUGAAGCUGGAGUAAAUAGUAAUCGCGAAUCAGCAUGUCGCGGUGAAUA